CGGGACACGUGGUAUCCUGUCUGAAUAUGGGGGGACCAUCCUCCAAGGCUAAAUACUCCUGACUGACCGAUAGUGAACCAGUACCGUGAGGGAAAGGCGAAAAGAACCCCGGCGAGGGGAGUGAAAAAGAACCUGAAACCGUGUACGUACAAGCAGUGGGAGCACGCUUAGGCGUGUGACUGCGUACCUUUUGUAUAAUGGGUCAGCGACUUAUAUUCUGUAGCAAGGUUAACCGAAUAGGGGAGCCGAAGGGAAACCGAGUCUUAACUGGGCGUUAAGUUGCAGGGUAUAGACCCGAAACCCGGUGAUCUAGCCAUGGGCAGGUUGAAGGUUGGGUAACACUAACUGGAGGACCGAACCGACUAAUGUUGAAAAAUUAGCGGAUGACUUGUGGCUGGGGGUGAAAGGCCAAUCAAACCGGGAGAUAGCUGGUUCUCCCCGAAAGCUAUUUAGGUAGCGCCUCGUGAAUUCAUCUCCGGGGGUAGAGCACUGUUUCGGCAAGGGGGUCAUCCCGACUUACCAACCCGAUGCAAACUGCGAAUACCGGAGAAUGUUAUCACGGGAGACACACGGCGGGUGCUAACGUCCGUCGUGAAGAGGGAAACAACCCAGACCGCCAGCUAAGGUCCCAAAGUCAUGGUUAAGUGGGAAACGAUGUGGGAAGGCCCAGACAGCCAGGAUGUUGGCUUAGAAGCAGCCAUCAUUUAAAGAAAGCGUAAUAGCUCACUGGUCGAGUCGGCCUGCGCGGAAGAUGUAACGGGGCUAAACCAUGCACCGAAGCUGCGGCAGCGACGCUUAUGCGUUGUUGGGUAGGGGAGCGUUCUGUAAGCCUGUGAAGGUGUACUGUGAGGUAUGCUGGAGGUAUCAGAAGUGCGAAUGCUGACAUAAGUAACGAUAAAGCGGGUGAAAAGCCCGCUCGCCGGAAGACCAAGGGUUCCUGUCCAACGUUAAUCGGGGCAGGGUGAGUCGACCCCUAAGGCGAGGCCGAAAGGCGUAGUCGAUGGGAAACAGGUUAAUAUUCCUGUACUUGGUGUUACUGCGAAGGGGGGACGGAGAAGGCUAUGUUGGCCGGGCGACGGUUGUCCCGGUUUAAGCGUGUAGGCUGGUUUUCCAGGCAAAUCCGGAAAAUCAAGGCUGAGGCGUGAUGACGAGGCACUACGGUGCUGAAGCAACAAAUGCCCUGCUUCCAGGAAAAGCCUCUAAGCAUCAGGUAACAUCAAAUCGUACCCCAAACCGACACAGGUGGUCAGGUAGAGAAUACCAAGGCGCUUGAGAGAACUCGGGUGAAGGAACUAGGCAAAAUGGUGCCGUAACUUCGGGAGAAGGCACGCUGAUAUGUAGGUGAAGUCCCUCGCGGAUGGAGCUGAAAUCAGUCGAAGAUACCAGCUGGCUGCAACUGUUUAUUAAAAACACAGCACUGUGCAAACACGAAAGUGGACGUAUACGGUGUGACGCCUGCCCGGUGCCGGAAGGUUAAUUGAUGGGGUUAGCGCAAGCGAAGCUCUUGAUCGAAGCCCCGGUAAACGGCGGCCGUAACUAUAACGGUCCUAAGGUAGCGAAAUUCCUUGUCGGGUAAGUUCCGACCUGCACGAAUGGCGUAAUGAUGGCCAGGCUGUCUCCACCCGAGACUCAGUGAAAUUGAACUCGCUGUGAAGAUGCAGUGUACCCGCGGCAAGACGGAAAGACCCCGUGAACCUUUACUAUAGCUUGACACUGAACAUUGAGCCUUGAUGUGUAGGAUAGGUGGGAGGCUUUGAAGUGUGGACGCCAGUCUGCAUGGAGCCGACCUUGAAAUACCACCCUUUAAUGUUUGAUGUUCUAACGUGGACCCGUAAUCCGGGUUGCGGACAGUGUCUGGUGGGUAGUUUGACUGGGGCGGUCUCCUCCUAAAGAGUAACGGAGGAGCACGAAGGUUGGCUAAUCCUGGUCGGACAUCAGGAGGUUAGUGCAAUGGCAUAAGCCAGCUUGACUGCGAGCGUGACGGCGCGAGCAGGUGCGAAAGCAGGUCAUAGUGAUCCGGUGGUUCUGAAUGGAAGGGCCAUCGCUCAACGGAUAAAAGGUACUCCGGGGAUAACAGGCUGAUACCGCCCAAGAGUUCAUAUCGACGGCGGUGUUUGGCACCUCGAUGUCGGCUCAUCACAUCCUGGGGCUGAAGUAGGUCCCAAGGGUAUGGCUGUUCGCCAUUUAAAGUGGUACGCGAGCUGGGUUUAGAACGUCGUGAGACAGUUCGGUCCCUAUCUGCCGUGGGCGCUGGAGAAUUGAGGGGGGCUGCUCCUAGUACG
This 2282-nucleotide ribosomal RNA is filed under the name Escherichia coli. Its description in RNAcentral is "partial 23S ribosomal RNA". It matches the Rfam family "Bacterial large subunit ribosomal RNA", at positions 418 to 2685 of the family's 2925-position model. The record is from RNAcentral. Lineage: Bacteria; Pseudomonadati; Pseudomonadota; Gammaproteobacteria; Enterobacterales; Enterobacteriaceae.